UACGUAGGGGGCAAGCGUUGUCCGGAAUCAUUGGGCGUAAAGCGCGUGUAGGCGGUUCAGUAAGUCCGCUCUGAAAGCCCGGGGCUCAACCCCGGGAGGCGGGUGGAUACUGCUGGACUAGAGUACGGAAGAGGCGAGUGGAAUUCCCGGUGUAGCGGUGAAAUGCGCAGAUAUCGGGAGGAACACCAAUUGCGAAGGCAGCUCGCUGGGACGUCACUGACGCUGAGACGCGAAAGCGUGGGGAGCAAACAGGAUUAGAAACCCCCGUAGUCC
Molecule: ribosomal RNA, 273 nt
Filed under: uncultured bacterium
Lineage: Bacteria
Description: partial 16S ribosomal RNA
Rfam family: Bacterial small subunit ribosomal RNA
Source: RNAcentral